This 330-nucleotide unclassified non-coding RNA is filed under the name soil metagenome. RNAcentral describes it as "partial contains 5.8S ribosomal RNA, internal transcribed spacer 2, and large subunit ribosomal RNA". The stretch from base 1 to 120 matches the Rfam family "5.8S ribosomal RNA", at positions 35 to 154 of the family's 154-position model. The record is from RNAcentral.
GAUGAAGAACGUAGCGAAAUGCGAUAAGUAAUGUGAAUUGCAGAAUUCAGUGAAUCAUCGAAUCUUUGAAUGCACAUUGCGCCCUCUGGUAUUCCGGGGGGCAUGCCUGUUCGAGCGUCAUUACAACCCUCAAGCUCUGCUUGGUAUUGGGCUCUGCCGGUCCUGGCAGGCCUCAAAGUCAGUGGCGGUGCCAUCCGGCUCCAAGCGUAGUAAUUCUUCUCGCUUCGGAGGCCGCGGUGCGUGCUAGCCAGCAACCCCCAAUUUUUUUCAGGUUGACCUCGGAUCAGGUAGGGAUACCCGCUGAACUUAAGCAUAUCAAUAAGCGGAGGA